Long non-coding RNA from Oreochromis aureus, 747 nucleotides. NCBI's taxonomy places the organism in Eukaryota, Metazoa, Chordata, Actinopteri, Cichliformes, Cichlidae. The record is from Ensembl.
CUCCGAAGCCUAGAGUAGAGUGGAGGGACAGCGAUGGAAACAUCCUUCGUGCUGAGGAGCCACAGGUGUCACACACAGGAGAGCGCUAUGACAUCACCCUCCUCACCACGGUGACCAGGACAAACAGCAACCUCUUCCACUGUGUAGCCACACAGGAGGAGAUGGGCCACCGAGCUGCUGACGAGAUCUUUGUUCCAGACCAGCUGUUUGAGUCCUGCCGUGGAGACACCGUGGUCAUAGUUUCAUUUGUUUCUGGGAUUCUUUCUGCGCUCGUCGUUUUGUGUCUCUGUGUGUGUUUCAUCUAUACCACAGCGUAACUCGCCUUUAAAGCUUCUCAGUGAAACCAGAGACUCGAUGUUUCUGUGAAAGCUGAUUUACAGCAGACUCCAGGCCUUCAGGCUGCAGAACAAAGUUACUGAGGGAAACAGAUUCAUACCUCAGUGAACUUAAAUGCUGCGUUUCCUUUGUCUUUAUGUUGAUCCAGCUUAUUACAGGGAAGGAAAUACUCUUGCUUGAAUUUAUGCCAUCUUUUUUAAUUGCAUUGAGAAGCAGUGCUUUCUAUGAUGAUCAUGAAAUGUGAAAACUGACACUGCAUUUGACAUGUUGUUAUCAGGAAGUGAACUGUGAAGCACGCAAAAGUGCAGCUGGUUUUAAUUCUGUUCGGUCCUGUUACAGGACGUCUGUGAAUGUUUUUAGUGUUUGUGCUUCCAGAGCUACUGCUCUCAUCAUUAUUAUUGUAUGUUUCAU